Molecule: ribosomal RNA, 275 nt
Filed under: Staphylococcus felis
Lineage: Bacteria; Bacillati; Bacillota; Bacilli; Caryophanales; Staphylococcaceae
Description: partial 16S ribosomal RNA
Rfam family: Bacterial small subunit ribosomal RNA
Source: RNAcentral
CAAUGGACAAUACCAACGGAUACGAAACCGUUAAGCGAACCCAAUCCCAUAACGUUGUUCUCAGUUCGGAUUGUAGUCUGCAACUCUUCUACAUGAAGCUGGAAUCGCUAGUAAUCGUAGAUCAGCAUGCUACGCUGAAUACGUUCCCGGGUCUCGUACACACCGCCCGUCACACCCCGAGAGUUUGUAUCACCCGAAGCCGGUGGAGUAACCAUUUGGAGCUAGCCGUCGAAGGUGGGACAAAUGAUUGGGGUGAAGUCGUAACAGGGUAGCCG